GACGAACGCUGGCGGCGUGCUUAACACAUGCAAGUCGAACGAUGAAACCUAGCUUGCUAGGUCGAUUAGUGGCGAACGGGUGAGUAACACGUGACUAACCUGCCCCUUUCUCUGGGAUAACGCUCCGAAAGGAGUGCUAAUACCGGAUACUCACACCGAGGCACAUGCCUUGGUGUGGAAAGUUCUUCGGAAAGGGAUGGAGUCGCGGCCUAUCAGCUUGUUGGUGAGGUAACGGCUCACCAAGGCGACGACGGGUAGCCGGCCUGAGAGGGCGACCGGCCACACUGGGACGGAGACACGGCACAGACUCCUACGGGAGGCAGCAGUGGGGAAUAUUGCACAAUGGGCGCAAGCCUGAUGCAGCGACGCCGCGUGAGGGAUGAAGGUCUUCGGAUUGUAAACCUCUUUCAGUAGGGACGAAGCGAAAGUGACGGUACCUAAAGAAGAAGCACCGGCUAACUACGUGCCAGCCGCCGCGGUAA
This 482-nucleotide ribosomal RNA is filed under the name uncultured bacterium. Its description in RNAcentral is "partial 16S ribosomal RNA". It matches the Rfam family "Bacterial small subunit ribosomal RNA", at positions 28 to 523 of the family's 1533-position model. The record is from RNAcentral.